This is a long non-coding RNA of Prionailurus viverrinus (fishing cat), 547 nucleotides long. RefSeq lists it as uncharacterized. The record is from RefSeq and is a predicted model, not a curated record. The transcript has 4 exons. Lineage: Eukaryota; Metazoa; Chordata; Mammalia; Carnivora; Felidae.
GAAGUUUUCAUCCUUCCAUUGACAGGCCUUCCCAGACUCUGCCCUAGAGCAUCACACACGCUUCCGGAAGCUCAGCCCCCCUGCUGCCUCGCCGAUCAGAUUAUGAACUCCACCUGGAUCAGGAGCACGUCUGAUCCGUUUAUCGGGGAAGCUCCACGGAGCCUGUGCACAGAGCCUGCACGUAGUAGGGCUGUGUAUCCUCGCGUGCACCUUGUGUGUGCGUGAUGCACGGACACUGGCCGUUGGGACCUAGCUGUUGGGAUGUCGUCACAGGGACGAGCCUUUUGUCACCUCCAAUCCCCUGAGUUAAUCCCCAUGCUGUGUGAGGGGUUUGGGUUUGGUGCCGUGGAGGAGAUGACAGCACCUCACGUAUGGUUGUGCCCUCCAGACGCCCAAAGUCCAACGGGACAGAUAAAACGGGACCGCGGUUGUCACAGUGUCUGAUAGAAAUCGAUAAAUAGAACUAAAAUGUUCUGUAUUUAGAGGAAAGGAAGGUUUAUGGGUAAGACUGUCAGAUAAAAAUCAAGAUGCCCAGUUAAACUUGCAU